RNAcentral lists this ribosomal RNA (381 nucleotides) under Madeiracalles terminalis tolpis. RNAcentral's name for it is "eukaryotic LSU rRNA". It matches the Rfam family "Eukaryotic large subunit ribosomal RNA", at positions 1340 to 1663 of the family's 3401-position model. The record is from RNAcentral. Lineage: Eukaryota; Metazoa; Arthropoda; Insecta; Coleoptera; Curculionidae.
GCUUAUACUCGACCGUCAGCGGCACGUGCGAUCGCCCUCUCGCGAGGGCGGUCACGAAGCUCUGACGAGUAGGAGGGUCGCGGCGGUGAGCGCAGAAGGGCUGGCCGCGAGGCCGUCUGGAGCCGCCGUCGGUGCAGAUCUUGGUGGUAGUAGCAAAUACUCCAGCGAGGCCCUGGAGGACUGACGUGGAGAAGGGUUUCGUGUGAACAGCCGUUGCACACGAGUCAGUCGAUCCUAAGCCCUAGGCGAAAGCCGAUGUCGAUGCGGUGUAGCGUUUAUAUAUAUUUAAAUAAGUAUUAAAGCCGAGAACACACCCGUCGGGCGAAAGGGAAUCCGGUUCCUAUUCCGGAACCUGGCAGCGGAACCGUCAAUAAGUCGGGC